GGCUCCUUGGUCAAGUGGUUAAGACACCGCCCUUUCACGGCGGUAACACGGGUUCGAGUCCCGUAGGAGUCA
Molecule: transfer RNA, 72 nt
Filed under: Staphylococcus aureus
Lineage: Bacteria; Bacillati; Bacillota; Bacilli; Caryophanales; Staphylococcaceae
Also listed under: 4 other names
Description: tRNA-Glu
Rfam family: tRNA
About the family: Transfer RNA (tRNA) molecules are approximately 80 nucleotides in length. Their secondary structure includes four short double-helical elements and three loops (D, anti-codon, and T loops).
Source: RNAcentral